RNAcentral lists this ribosomal RNA (440 nucleotides) under uncultured bacterium. RNAcentral's name for it is "partial 16S ribosomal RNA". It matches the Rfam family "Bacterial small subunit ribosomal RNA", at positions 338 to 795 of the family's 1533-position model. The record is from RNAcentral.
CCUACGGGAGGCAGCAGUGGGGAAUAUUGCACAAUGGGGGGAACCCUGAUGCAGCAACGCCGCGUGGGUGAAGAAGUACUUCGGUAUGUAAAGCCCUGUCAGCAGGGAAGAAAAUGACGGUACCUGACCAAGAAGCCACGGCUAACUACGUGCCAGCAGCCGCGGUAAUACGUAGGGGGCAAGCGUUAUCCGGAUUUACUGGGUGUAAAGGGAGCGUAGACGGCAAGGCAAGUCUGGAGUGAAAGCCCGUGGCUCAACCACGGGACUGCUUUGGAAACUGUGUUACUGGAGUGCAGGAGGGGUAAGCGGAAUUCCUAGUGUAGCGGUGAAAUGCGUAGAUAGUAGGAGGAACACCGGUGGCGAAGGCGGCUUACUGGACUGUAACUGACGUUGAGGCUCGAAGGCGUGGGGAGCAAACAGGAUUAGAUACCCCUGUAGUC